Molecule: ribosomal RNA, 520 nt
Filed under: uncultured Glomus
Lineage: Eukaryota; Fungi; Glomeromycota; Glomeromycetes; Glomerales; Glomeraceae
Description: SSU rRNA
Rfam family: Eukaryotic small subunit ribosomal RNA
Source: RNAcentral
AGCAGCCGCGGUAAUUCCAGCUCCAAUAGCGUAUAUUAAAGUUGUUGCAGUUAAAAAGCUCGUAGUUGAAUUUCGGGGCCAGUAGGUUGGUCGUGCCACUGGUAUGCACUGGCCUUACUGGUCCCUCCUUCUUGUAGAACCGUGAUGGCAUUAAUUUGUUGUUGCGGGGAAACAGGACUGUUACUUUGAAAAAAUUAGAGUGUUUAAAGCAGGCUCGCGCUUGAAUACAUUAGCAUGGAAUAAUGAAAUAGGACGUUUGAUCCUAUUUUGUUGGUUUCUAGGAUUGACGUAAUGAUUAAUAGGGAUAGUUGGGGGCAUUAGUAUUCAAUUGUCAGAGGUGAAAUUCUUGGAUUUAUUGAAGACUAACUACUGCGAAAGCAUUUGCCAAGGAUGUUUUCAUUAAUCAAGAACGAAGUUAGGGGAUCGAAGACGAUCAGAUACCGUCGUAGUCUUAACCAUAAACUAUGCCGACUAGGGAUCGGAUGAUGUUAAUUUUUUAAUGACUCAUUCGGCGCCUUAC